AUUGAACGCUGGCGGCAUGCCUUACACAUGCAAGUCGAACGGUAACAGGGAGCUUGCUCCGCUGACGAGUGGCGAACGGGUGAGUAAUGUCUGGGAAACUGCCUGAUGGAGGGGGAUAACUACUGGAAACGGUAGCUAAUACCGCAUAACGGCGCAAGACCAAAGUGGGGGACCUUCGGGCCCCAUGCCAUCAGAUGCGCCCGGAUGGGAUUAGCUAGUAGGUGGGGUAACGGCUCACCUAGGAGACGAUCCCUAGCUGGUCUGAGAGGAUGACCAGCCACACUGGAACUGAGACACGGUGCAGACUCCUACGGGAGGCAGCAGUGGGGAAUAUUGCACAAUGGGCGCAAGCCUGAUGCAGCCAUGCCGCGUGUGUGAAGAAGGCCUUCGGGUUGUAAAGCACUUUCAGCGGGGAGGAAGGCGAUAAGGUUAAUAACCUUGUCGAUUGACGUUACCCGCAGAAGAAGCACCGGCUAACUCCGUGCCAGCAGCCGCGGUAA
RNAcentral lists this ribosomal RNA (500 nucleotides) under uncultured bacterium. Its description in RNAcentral is "partial 16S ribosomal RNA". It matches the Rfam family "Bacterial small subunit ribosomal RNA", at positions 30 to 523 of the family's 1533-position model. The record is from RNAcentral.